GUACAGAGGGUGCCCAACCCGCGAGGGGGAGCUAAUCCCAUAAAACCAGUCGUAGUCCGGAUCGUAGUCUGCAACUCGACUGCGUGAAGUCGGAAUCGCUAGUAAUCGCGGAUCAGCAUGUCGCGGUGAAUACGUUCCCGGGUCUUGUACACACCGCCCGUCACACCAUGGGAGCGGGUUCUGCCAGAAGUAGUUAGCCUAACCGCAAGGAGGGCGAUUACCACGGCAGGGUUCGUGACUGGGGUGAAGUCGUAACAAGGUAGCCGUAUCGGAAGGUGCGGCUGGAUCACCUCCUUACA
Molecule: ribosomal RNA, 299 nt
Filed under: uncultured Burkholderiales bacterium
Lineage: Bacteria; Pseudomonadati; Pseudomonadota; Betaproteobacteria; Burkholderiales
Description: partial 16S ribosomal RNA
Rfam family: Bacterial small subunit ribosomal RNA
Source: RNAcentral